This 2937-nucleotide long non-coding RNA is filed under the name Bactrocera tryoni. RNAcentral describes it as "uncharacterized LOC120769591". Lineage: Eukaryota; Metazoa; Arthropoda; Insecta; Diptera; Tephritidae. The record is from RNAcentral.
GUGCGUUAUUAAACAAGAUAUUUUUUCAAAUAUCGACCCUCAUUACGAUUUAAAAAAAGUUUUCAAUACAAUUAGCGCUUUUCCUAAGCUAAAUAAUUUGCUUAACGCCAAGAUUUUACUUCUAUAUGUAGUUUAGAAAACAACAUGUUAGUUUAAAAAAACUAUGAAAUGCAUAUAUGCGUUAAAUUUUAAUGCUUCCUCUUCUUUGUUUAGUUUACAGUUACCUUUUCGUGGCGCGUUCAUUGUGUGUUAAUUUAGCAUUUCUUAUCGUUUUGUAGUACAAUUAAUUAAAAAUAAUGGUGUUUAGUGGCUUUCUGUGUUUAAACUGUGUUUGUUUAAUGUUAAGUGAGUUGCAAAAGGGAACGUAAAUAAAACUAUGCUAUCAUAAUUGCGCUUCCGCCGGUGCUUUGGUUUCAGGUCGCGUCCGGUGUUGUGCUCGUUUGUUAAGUGUUUAAUAUUGUAUUAUUUAGUUUAUAUUGAAGUUGUAAAGCGUUGCAUAUCUGUUGCUGCAUACAAAAGUACAAGUUUGUAUUGAAAAAUCUUAUUCCGGCAGAGUAAAUUAUUAGAAAAGCAAGAUGGCUCAUAAUCAAACGUCGCGUUUCUUCAACAUGUUUUUUCUUGCAAUGGAAAGUUUGAAAAGCAGUGUACUAGUGAAAUAUUUAUAUUUUCAUUUCCUAUUUUCCAAUUUGCAAGUAAAAAUUUUAAAUACCGUGUAUUGGGAGAAAAUGAGGUUAAUCAUUAAAAUCAUAUGUGUAAAUAUAUUUUGUGACAGCAAGAGCUAAGAUUCCAAGGAAAUGGCAAUAAGUAAAUUAAUUGUCGUAAAAAUUCAACCCAGCCAUUAAGUAACAACUGAAAUCAGCUUUUGAAAGAAUAAAAAUCCGCAAAAACACUUUCCAUGGAUCCACCAUUCUACAUCGGGUGCUACUGACAUUCAUAUGAGUGGCCUAGACACACUGAACCGAAUCCAAAUAUUGUCUAUAAGAAUUGUGGAAAGAGCAAGAAAUAAUCUUCGUAUUUACUUAUUGGUUUCAGUUAAUGCGUGUGUUCAGAAAAUUUGAUGAUUAGCCCAGGUUUCCUAGUUUGUUGGUAUAACCGCUACAUUGGCCUGCGAAAUCGCCAUUCAAAUAUACACGUUUAUAAUAUGUUCCACUUGCUCCAAGACAAACGCCACCUUGCAGAGCGAUUGUAGAUUGUUUUAGCUUCGGUACCCACCUACGACUUUAACGACUACGAGGCCCUGCCAGUAGUUAAGCUAUCAACGUCAUCACUCUGAUGAUCAUUUUACUUACUGAACGCCCUUAUCGCGACAAAACAACAAUGCUCGAGAGAGCUCUUCGCGCUAAACGGAGUUAAGGGAUAAACUAUAUGAAAUAAUAUUCAUCGAUAAUCUGGCAAACGUCUACAAAAAAAGUUAUGCUUCAUGUAGUCGACGCACUACUAUGAUAGGAUAAUAUACACAAACGAAAAAAACGUUGAAUAAGUUGCUUUCGCUUUUCCUGGUUCAAGCCCUUAGCGACUUUAGCCUGUGCUCAACCCUCAAAAGAAUGCGUGCUGGAAAGCUAUCGCUGACACUGAGAUUUUUAAUGAAACAAAAGACCAAUAGUACUAUGUAUAAGAAAUUGAUUUGACCUAAGAGGAGAGCCAGCAAAUCAAAUCAACCAUCAUCUAAUUUCCAAGAAGUAUAUACACGAUUCCUAUCUCUCUUUUACAGCACCAAACUGCUGUCCAAAAUUGAAACCAUUUCUUUUAUUAUAAAGUAAUUCGAAUUUAUUGUUUGUUAUAACUUUUUAAAUAUUUUAUUUUUUCAUUUGAUCGUUACAUUAUACUCAACUUGAUCUUUCUUUUACUUGGUUAAAAUUUUAAUUUAAUUUCUUUUUUCUCAUUUACAUAAGUUUUGUGCUGGUAUGGUUUCUUAAGUGCAAAAAUAUUUUAAGUUUAAUAUUAUAUUCUCUUUUCCUCUCCUUUAGUCUUGCACACCAACUACAUACAUAUGUAUGGACAUAUUUUCACUUUGACAACAUCAAUACUAUGCACAAGGGUAUUAUAUAUCUUCAAUAAAUGCAAUUUGUUCUCUUCGGGAUAUUUUGUGUUGGUGAAAAUAUAUUAUUUUAAAAAUAAAUUUUAUUGAAAAUAAUAAUUUUUAUGUAAAAAAAUAUUUUUUUAAAAAAAAGUUUUGUUUUUUUUAAUUUUUAUGAAUUUUUGUGUUGUUAAAAAAGCUAAAUGUUUAAUGAAUUAAGAUAAUUAUAUAUAUUGGAUGUGAUUGCAAUAUAUUUAUAAGUAUUUCUAAGUUAUGCAAACAUACUUUUUAAUUAAAAUAAAAUUCAUAUGCUUGCAUAUAUAGUGAAGUACAUUAUGUAUUUAUACAAAUUGCAACAAAAAUUUUACUAAAUUCUAAGCUCUAGCAAAAUAUUGUAAACAAUUCAGGCACAUAAUAUACUACUAUUAAUAAAAUCAAUAUGUACAUCUACAUUCAUACAUAUGUAUAUUAAUUUUAAUGCAUAAAAUUUGGCUAAUUAAUGAACACAGCAAGCGUACAAACAUAUUAUUUAUGUAUUUAUGGAUGGAUUAUUAUUUUAUUUUUACACUAGCAAAUCCCUAUUCUGAAAGAUUUUCUCAGAAAAGUGGUCAAAUGACGGACAGCAGCAUAAAUAUAUAAUUUUUCCGAUACCUUAUGCUAUAUACUUCAUUCCUGCAUUUAAAUUUUUUCCAUUCGGUAAACCGAUGGCUCGGAAAAACUGGAUUUAGUAGGUAAGUUGCAGACAACCAGAUGUUAGGAACACCAGACAGUGGGGCCCGGAAAUAUUUAUCUAAAUAUUUUGUAAGAUGCCCCUGAGCUUAUAGUACAAUCCUGCAUUUAAAAUUUUGCCAUUCGGUCCAGCAGCGGCCGAGAAAAACUCGAUUUAGUAAGCAAGUCGCUGGUCGGGUACCAGACCCCUA